AGAGUUUGAUCAUGGCUCAGAAUGAACGUUGGCGGCGUGGAUUAGGCAUGCAAGUCGAGCGGUAGGGAACUGCUCACUUCGGCCCAUUUAGCCUCCGGUCAAUGACCGGCGGCCACGUGGACGAAGUGAGCAGUUCCUGAGAGCGGCGAAAGGGAGAGUAACGCGUAGUUACGUGCCCCGAGGACCGGAAUAGCCACGGGAAACUGUGGGUAAUGCCGGAUGUUGUCUUCGGACUAAAGGGUGUGAUUCCGCCUUGGGAGCGGACUGCGUUGUACUAGCUAGUUGGUAGGGUAAUGGCCUACCAAGGCGAUGAUGCAUAGCGGGUGUGAGAGCAUGACCCGUCUCACUGGGACUGAGACACUGCCCAGACACCUACGGGUGGCUGCAGUCGAGAAUCUUCGGCAAUGAGCGAAAGCUUGACCGAGCGACGCCGCGUGCGGGAUGAAGGCCUUCGGGUUGUAAACCGCUGUCGUAGAGGAGGAAGGCUCCGUGAAGAACGGGGUUUGACCUAUUCUAGGAGGAAGGACGGGCUAAGUUCGUGCCAGCAGCCGCGGUAAUACGAACCGUCCAAACGUUAUUCGGAAUCACUGGGCUUAAAGGGUACGUAGGCGGCGCUGUCAGUCGGGUGUGAAAUCCCACGGCUCAACCGUGGAAUUGCGCCCGAUACUGCAGUGCUUGAGGGAGACAGAGGUAAGCGGAACUGAUGGUGGAGCGGUGAAAUGCGUUGAUAUCAUCAGGAACACCGGUGGCGAAAGCGGCUUACUGGGUCUCUUCUGACGCUGAGGUACGAAAGCUAGGGGAGCGAAGGGGAUUAGAUACCCCCGUAGUCCUAGCUGUAAACGUUGAGCACUUGAUCGAGGGCCCCCCCAUAGGCUCCCGGUCGUAGCGAAAGUGUUAAGUGCUCCGCCUGGGGAGUAUGGUCGCAAGGCUGAAACUUAAAGGAAUUGACGG
Molecule: ribosomal RNA, 951 nt
Filed under: uncultured bacterium
Lineage: Bacteria
Description: bacterial SSU rRNA
Rfam family: Bacterial small subunit ribosomal RNA
Source: RNAcentral